Molecule: ribosomal RNA, 253 nt
Filed under: uncultured prokaryote
Description: partial 16S ribosomal RNA
Rfam family: Bacterial small subunit ribosomal RNA
Source: RNAcentral
GACGUAGGAGGCGAGCGUUAUCCGGAUUCACUGGGCGUAAAGCGCAUGUAGGCGGUCGUCUAAGUCCGCGGUUAAAGCCCCCGGCUCAACUGGGGGAGGUCCGAGGAGACUAGUCGACUUGAGGGCAACAGAGGCACGUGGAACUCCCGGUGUAGCGGUGAAAUGCGUAGAUAUCGGGAGGAACACCUGAGGCGAAGGCGGGCUACUGGGCCGAUACUGACGCUGAUGCGCGAAAGCCAGGGGAGCGAACGGG